GAUGAACGCUGGCGGCGUGCCUAAUACAUGCAAGUCGAGCGAACAGAUAAGGAGCUUGCUCCUUUGACGUUAGCGGCGGACGGGUGAGUAACACGUGGAUAACCUACCUAUAAGACUGGGAUAACUUCGGGAAACCGGAGCUAAUACCGGAUAACAUAUUGAACCGCAUGGUUCAAUAGUGAAAGGCGGCUUUGCUGUCACUUAUAGAUGGAUCCGCGCCGUAUUAGCUAGUUGGUAAGGUAACGGCUUACCAAGGCAACGAUACGUAGCCGACCUGAGAGGGUGAUCGGCCACACUGGAACUGAGACACGGUCUAGACUCCUACGGGAGGCAGCAGUAGGGAAUCUUCCGCAAUGGGCGAAAGCCUGACGGAGCAACGCCGCGUGAGUGAUGAAGGUCUUCGGAUCGUAAAACUCUGUUAUCAGGGAAGAACAAAUGUGUAAGUAACUGUGCACAUCUUGACGGUACCUGAUCAGAAAGCCACGGCUAACUACGUG
This 497-nucleotide ribosomal RNA is filed under the name uncultured bacterium. RNAcentral's name for it is "partial 16S ribosomal RNA". It matches the Rfam family "Bacterial small subunit ribosomal RNA", at positions 28 to 507 of the family's 1533-position model. The record is from RNAcentral.